RNAcentral lists this ribosomal RNA (133 nucleotides) under uncultured bacterium. RNAcentral's name for it is "partial 16S ribosomal RNA". The record is from RNAcentral.
AAUUAGCCGGUGCUUUCUCCUGAGGUACCCUCAAAAAUUUGUUCCUCAGAACAGAAGUUUACGCCCAAAAAGGGUUUCAUCCUUCACGCGGUGUCGCUCCGUCAGGCUUGCGCCCAUUGCGGAAGAUUCCUCA